This 2066-nucleotide long non-coding RNA is filed under the name Gossypium barbadense (sea-island cotton). RNAcentral's name for it is "long non-coding RNA (GBAR_LNC019026)". Lineage: Eukaryota; Viridiplantae; Streptophyta; Magnoliopsida; Malvales; Malvaceae. The record is from RNAcentral.
ACAACAUGACAUAUCCUUGGCAUCCUUAUUUAUAUAUAUUCAUAAACCAUUCUACAAGACAACUUGUAAGUUAGUACUUCACAUAACAAGAUCAUGGGAUUUAAAUUCAUAUGCAUGUACAACCAAAUUACUUUACGUCAUACUAUUCAACCUUGUUCAAUACUACAACAAAUCAAUGGAAUUCACAUUCAAUCAUUUCAUUACCGUUUAAUUUUCAUUUUCUAUUUGGAAAACUAUAGCAAUUUAAAUUCGGAUACACAAGACUAAUUUACUUCCACAAAUUGUAGAGUUGUUUUACUUAAUACAAACUUUAUUUGAUGUUGCUCACUCAAGCUGUCGAGAAUUCACAACAUGUGUUGGAUCUCAACCAUUGAUAAAGAAUAAUUCGAUUUGCUCAUACAAGUUGUGAUAUUUGGGCUGCUCACACAAGCUGUAGGUCAGAUUUACUUUUGCAAACUUUAUUCGAUGUUGCUCACUCAAGUUAUCGAGAAUCCACAACAUAUGCUGAAUCUCAGCCAUCGAUAAAGAAAUCUCUGACCAACACCUGGUUUCUUUUUGAAGAUUAAUGCCAUGCCAUUCAUAACUCAAUUGUUUACGAAGUUCAACUAGCAUCGUUACCAGUUCUAUAUCAUUACAAACUCUGAAACUGUAUACUCAUUUUUUCACAUUUCGAAUAACAACCCAUAUACAUUUUAACCCUAUAAUACCAUCAUAUACAUACUAUUCAAUCAUAUAUCAAUUUCACAUAUAAUCAUUAUCAUGUAUCUAUUCAUAUUAGUAAUUUAUUUCAUGUUUUUGGUUUAGUCCCUUCGAUGCCAAAAUACAUUAUUUACCUAACAAUUCGAACUAAAAAGUAAAACAAUAUAAUAAAAACAUAACAUAAAUUAAUAAAGUAAGUCUCGUAUGAACUUACUUGAAAAAAACAACAACUAGCAAGAUGUUAAUGACUAAUCUGCAAUUUUGCCUUUUAUUCAAUUAUCUUCCGAUUGAUUCAAAUUUCGAUCUAUAAUAAGUCAUUACAAUUUAUCUAUUAUAAACUAUUUUAAUAGUUUAUUAUAACCAUAAGUUAUUUUAAUUUCACUUUUCAAAAGUUCCUUAAAAUUUUCCAUUUUAUUCAAUUUAGUCCCUAAAACCAAAAUAGCUAUAACUUUCAAAUUUGAGCCUUGAAUUCUAAAUCGAUCUCAAUUUAAUCCUUAUACAUCCCUCUAAUAACUAUAUUUACAAAAAAUUCACACCAAAUUCAAAUUUAUUUCAUUUUAGUCCCUAAGUUCAAAACUAACAAUUUUCACUUCACAAACUAGUCCUUUUUCAAAUAUAAGCAUAAAAUCUAACAAUUUAGUACCAAAAGCUUCAAUACUCAACAAUGAAAACUUUUGUAAACUUUAAUAGUUUUACAAACUGAUGCCUAAGCUAGCUAAAUCAAGCUCCCAAGAUCUCAAAAAACAUACAAAUUAUAAGAAAUGAACUUAAAUUUUCUUACCAAUUGAAGAACCAAAGUUGAAAGCUUCAAACACUAAUAUUUUCUAUGGUUUUCGGUGAAGAGACGAGAAGGGGGAAGAAAAACGAUUUUAUUUUAUUUUUAAUUUUCUUUUAUACCAAGGUUAAAUUAAUAUAUCUUAAUUAACUAAAUUAAACUUUAAUUAACUUAAUAUAAUGAUGAUUAAUAAAUUUGGUGGAUGAAAACUUUCAUCCACCACCAUUUGGUGGUUUAACAAAGGUUAAAUUGCUCAAUUGAUCUUCCAAAUAAUUAAAAAUUUAUAGUUAUAAAUUUUUACCAUUUAGUUCUUCUACUUUAAUUAGUCACUAAUUCGGCAAAAUUACUUAUUCAAAAUUCAAUUCACCUAUAUAAUAACUUCGUAAAUAUUUAAUAAAAAUAUUACGAGCUCAGUUUACGGAAAUGAAGUCCCGAUACCUCAUUUCUGACACCACUAACUUUAGGGUCAUUACACUUGUACCUUGGUUAAAUAUCCAUUUAACAAAAUUAAAAGACCAAACUCUAAUUAAACUUCAUACUAACCUAUUUACAAACUCGAAGAUCGGAAAUGAAAUUUUGAAACCACCGUAUU